This is a long non-coding RNA of Dreissena polymorpha, 7320 nucleotides long. RefSeq lists it as uncharacterized. NCBI's taxonomy places the organism in Eukaryota, Metazoa, Mollusca, Bivalvia, Myida, Dreissenidae. The record is from RefSeq and is a predicted model, not a curated record. The transcript has 2 exons.
AAAAAAAGAAACAUGGUUAAAAAAAACAACAAAUAUUUAUUUUGAUUAUUUUAUUUUAAAUAUCAAUAUGUUUCAAUUAUUGUUCUCUUUCAGUUAGAAUAUGACUUUGUUACCUUGACCUUAUUGAAUAUGAACAAUUUCCCCAUGAUAGCUUACAUAAUACUGUCAAGCACUUUGAAUAGUCGAGCGUGCUGUCUUCUGACAGCUCUUGUUUAUAUAGUUAUACUGCAAUUGGUAUGAAGAAAAAGGUUUGCAUAUUACAGCAAGUAAUUGUUUAUAUAUUUCUUUUUAAAUCGCGCCAGCUGUAUUACUUUUUAAACAAACUUAUAGUGUUAUGUGUAAAAUAUGAAAGUGUUUCCUUUAAUAUGUAAUUUGAAAACAGGAAACAUUAUUAUUUAAUUAAAUUUUUAAUUGUAAAUAUGUACAUUUAUGAAUACUGGAUUUAUUGUGGAAUAAAAUGGCACCACUUUUGGUUACACAUUAGGGUUUCGAAAUUGUUUCUGCCGAUGUCCAACAGUUCUCAUCCUGUCUUUUCUUCCGUUUGGUUUUAUGUUUUUCAUUUAUUUAUAUUAUUUAAUACAUCUGAGAUGUAAAUCUUAACUUGGGAAAUAUAUAUUUAAUACUUAUCUGUACUUCCAAAAAACGAUACUGUGGACAUCAUCACUAUGAAGUUAUUGCUUAAUGUAAAUUAAUCCUAUUUCGUCAUUUUGUGGAGCCAAAUCCAUAGAUUAAAGCGGUAUUCGUUUGAGAUCAUACAAGUAGAUAGAUCUCAAAACACAUUUAAAGAAUGUGUUUUCAGUAUUCACAAUUAUUCAAUGAUUGUGUUGUGUUAAUUGUGAAAACACACAUUUUUGUUGCAACAACUUUUGGUUUUGGCUCUCGAGAACAAAAUAGAUACGUUUAUUUUAGGAAAACUUUAAACACUGAAGCCAUAUAUCGAGACCUGGUAAUGAAUUGCAUAGCGUGGAUUGGGGUCAACGUUAAAAAAGUUCAGACCAAUAAGUCCAUACCUAUUGCUACAGACUCCUUAUAUCGGGGUUUCUUUGGAAUUACAUGUAAGGUGGAUUGGGUUGAAGUCAUGGUAAAUGUUCCAAAUUUAUUUUUUUAGUUUCUGACAAAGACUAGAUUAAAGCAUCUGUAUGAUGUAACUUAAUACAAACAUGCAUUUUAUCUAGACUUCGGAAAUGCAUAUGAUUUGGUUUGGGUAAAAUAACAGGUACUAAAUUAAAAAAACACUUACUAAUUAAUGAAUCGAGCUAGUGUUAUGACACUUAUCGACAUGAAAUUGCACCCAGGCUUAGUUUUGUCAAUUCGAUCUCCACUUAGUGGAUGGAAACACAAAGUUGACCUACCUUACCAGAUUAAGCUAACCCACAUUUGUCUUGCACCAUUACCACAUGCUUUCAUUCAGGGAACGUUGCCUUUCCUCAGUCCUGUUCAAAUAUAUAAUUUUGUAUUAUACAGGCAACUUCUAUAUUCACAGCAUAUUUAUUAUCCCCACGCUUUUUUAUAAGCGUGGGGAUAUUGUGGUUAUCUCUGCCGUCUGUCCGUCCGUCCUGGCCACUGUCUCCUCCUACACUAUUAACACUAGAACCUUGAAAUUUACACACAUGGUAGCUAUGAGCAUAUGUGCGAUCCUGCACUAUUUGUAAUUUUGAUCUGACCCCUGGGUCAAAAGUUAUGGGGGUUGGGGUGGGGCCGCGUCAGAGAUUUUCACUCAUUUUUUUUAGGUUAUUUUACAUUAACUUCUUCAUUUCUACACCAAUUUACUUCAAAUUGAUACUGAACCUCUCUUAUGACAAUACGGUCGAUCUCAACUGUGCAUGGCCCCAUUACCAACCCUGGGGCGCCCCACCCACAUAAACCACACCCACCCAAAAUUGCCUUUUACUAUAACUUCUUCAUUUCUACACCGAUUCACUUCUAAUUGAUACUGAAUUUCUCUUAUGACAAUACGGUCAAUCUCAACUAUGCAUGGCCCCAUUACCAACCCUGGGGCGCCUCGCCCACAUAGGCCACACCCACCCAAAAUUGCCUUUUACUAUAACUUCCUCAUUUCUACACCUAUUCACUUCUAAUUGAUACUGAACCUCUCUUAUGACAAUACGAUCAAUCUCAACUAUGCAUGGCCCCAUUACCAACCCUGGGGCGCCCCGCCCACAUAGGCCACACCUACCCAAAAUUGCCUUUUACUAUAACUUCUUCAUUUCUACACCGAUUCACUUCUAUUUAAUACUGAACUUCUCUUAUGACAAUAUGGUCAAUCUCAACUAUGCAUGGCUCCAUUAACAACCUUGGGGCGCCCCGCCCACAUAGGCCACACCCACCCAAAAUUGCCUUUUACUAUAACUUCUUCAUUUCUACACCGAUUCACUUCUAAUUGAUACUGAACUUCUCUUAUGACAAUACGGUCAAUCUCAACUAUGCGUGGUCCCAUUACCAACCCUGGGGCGCCCCUGGGUCAAACAUACGGUGUGGGGAUACGCGUCAGCUUCUGCCGCGCCAUUUCUAGUUUAUAGUGUUUUUAUUGCUAAAUAAUAUAUAGAGAAUAUUUGUAAAAUUUGUUGGAAUAUCGAUUGAAUUAACAAGCGAUCAUAGAAAAUAAUAUUUUCACGAGUGGAGCAGCCACGAUUGAAUAUAUAUUUUGUCUAUGAUCACGAGUGAAUAUAUAUUUUGUCUAUGAUCACGAAUGAAUUAAAUUCGCUACUUCACUGAAUCCAACAAAUUUUCUUUUAAUUUUGUGCUUUUGUCAGCUUGUAUUUACAUUGUUAAAAGAUUUAACGGGAGAAAUUUGCUUCAAUAAUGACGUCAUUAUGUUAAAAAUCGAGUCAUUUCACAGUGAAUCAGUGAAAAUUAUUGAUAUUUUCAUUUUCACUGUUUGAAACAGUGGAUGAUCAGUUUUAAUGCACUAAUAUUUGUCUAUAAACAACUGGAAAGCAUUAAAUGAAAAGUGUUGUUUGAUUGUGGAAUGUAAAGCCAACUUGAAAGCUGAGAGGCAUGACAAGUAUGUACGUGUAGGUCAUUGCUUGCUGUUGUCUUCUAGAUUGUGUAGCUUAAUAAUGACAUUAUCAAUUGUUUGUUUUAAUGUGUUUGCACCAUUCUAUGUGCGUGUAAUGCUUAUUGUAUAUAAUCCACAUUGAAACAAAUGUAGUAUUAUGAUUGGUAGUAACAUUUAUUGUGCACGUACCCUUCUAUUAUAGUUAAGUCUCUGUGACAUAAUCAAAUUUGCACCAUUAGUUUGUGUUUAAUGAUGAAGAUUGGUAUUUGUAAAUUUAAAGCUUUUUAUAUAUCCAUGUUAUAACAUGUAUUUGGUUGAAGCUAUGAUAAUACGUACAUGAUUUUUAAAGGAGGGCUUAAGAGAUUAUUUGUAUGCCCCCGAAGGUGGGCAUUUAGUGAUCGCACUGUCCAUCUGUCUGUCUGUCUGUCACACUUUUUUUUGAAAAAAUGCUCAGAACUUCUAUGUCGCUUCAGAUGUAACCUUCAUAUUUGGUAUGCAUGUGUACAUGUAUAUGGACAAGGCCUUUUCGUAUGCACACAAAUUUUGACCCAUUUGACCUUGAACUUAGGGUCCGCGUUUAGGUUUCAAAAUCUGCGUUUAGGUUUCGAAAAAUGCUCAUAACUUCUAUGUCGCUUCAGAUGUAACCUUCGUAUUUGGUAUGCAUGUGUAUAUGGACAAUGCCUUUCCAUACGCACACAAAUGUUGACCCCUUUGACCUUGAACUUAGGGUCCCCGUUUAGGUUUCAAAAUCUGCGUUUAGGUUUCGAAAAAUGCUCAUAACUUCUAUGUCGCUUCGGAUGUAACCUUCAUAUUUGGUAUGCAUGUGUAUAUGGACAAGGCCUUUCCAUACACACACAAAUUUUUACCCCUUUCACCUUGACCUUUAACUUACGGUCCCGAAUUAGGUUUUGAAAUCUGCGUUUAGGUUUCGAAAAAUGCUCAUAACUUCUAUGUUGCUUCAGAUGUAACCUUCAUAUUUGGUAUGCAUGUGUAUAUGGACAAUGCCUUUCCAUACGCACACAAAUGUUGACCCCUUUGACCUUGAACUUAGGGUCCGCGUUUAGGUUUCAAAAUCUGCGUUUAGGUUUCGAAAAAUGCUCAUAACUUCUAUGUUGCUUCGGAUGUAACCUUCAUAUUUGUUAUGCAUGUGUAUAUGGACAAGGCCUUUCCAUACACACACAAAUUGUUACCCCUUUCACCUUGACCUUUAACUUAGGGUCCCGAAUUAGGUUUUGAAAUCUGCGUUUAGGUUUCGAAAAAUGCUCAUAACUUCUAUGUCGCUUCAGAUGUAACCUUUAUACUUGGUUUGCAUGUGUAUAUGGACAAGGCCUUUUCAUACCCACACAAAUUUUGACCCCUUUGACCUUGAACAUACUGCUGUGUUUAGGUUUCGAAAUCUGCGUUAAGGUUUGAGUUGUAACCUUUUUAUUUGGUUUGCAUGUGUAUCUGCCCAAGACCUUUCAAUAACCAAAAACAUUUUGACCCUGUGACCUUAACCCUUGUGCCUGUGUUAAGGUUUUGAAAAAUGCUAAUAUAACUCUUUGUCUCUUGAAGUAUAACCUUCACAUUUGGUAUGCAUGUGUAUAUGGAAAAGACCUUUCCAGACACACAAAAAUCUUGACUACUGUGGCCAUGACCUUAAAGUUAGGGUCGGCAUUUAGGUUACGAAAAUUUGUUCUGUUAUUUAGCUGUCUUACAUGACUAUCAAAUCGUUUUUCGGUGGCAUGUCUUUCUAUGGAGACAGCUCUUGUUAUUUGAUUCAUGCAUAUGUUUUAAUUCCAAUUUUGUAAAUGUAUGUACAUUGAACUAUGAUGCAUAUUUUAUCCAAGCCGGAAUAUGAAGUGCUUAAGGUGAACAAUUGCGAAAGGUCUUUGUGUGGAGUCCGUAAUCGUGCUGUGUGAAAAAUUAGCUUGUUACCACUCUAGAGCAACCGUUGUGGCUCAUUCUUGAUAAAUCUUGGUCAGAAUGUUUAUCUUGACAAAAUCCAGACCAAGUUUGAAUCAUUGGUUCAAGUGGGGUAAACAACUUGGCAAACAGGUAAAACCAAAAAAACUUUAUUCUACUCCAGAUUCAAUACUGAUGAAAAGCUUGGUUAGAUGUUUAUAUUCGCAAUAUCAAGGUCAAGUUAGAUUCUGGGUCACGUAGGGUCAAGCAACUAGGUAAUUAGCUAAAAUAUAUGUAAAAAAAAACUUUUGUUGUUCUCCAAAAGCCACAUAUAUGAUUGAAUGUUAAUGUUAACUUGGUCAUGGUGAUUAUAUUUGCAAUAUGUUGGUCUUGUUCGAUUUUAGGAUAAGUGGGGUCAAAUGGGAGGUCACAUGGUUAAAUCUAUGAAAAAUCUUUCUGACACUCUUGUUAAGAAAUUUAAUUAUUGAGUGAUGUACUGCGUUUUGUAUGAAACAAAAGCAGUGUUUGUUAGGUGUGCAACAUAGGGCCGUUGUGCCUCUCUUGUUGUUAUUAACAUAUAACACAUUGAAAUUUUAACAUUUAAUAUAUAUAUAUUAUAUGAGCAGACAUUCUUCAGUUGUAUAAAGACUCUUCAAGCUCCCCCCCCCCCCCCCUCCCCCCUCUGGUAUUUUGUAAGAUAUACAAACUGUAAUGAGUAUGUACAAAAUAUAUUAUUUUUCAAAUUUAAAAGCGAGAAUGUUGCAAUCACUGUUUUAUCACGGCAAUCCUUGAACGGACAAUCACACAAUAAAUUAACAAAUUUAUGAGAUGUUUAACAAGUGUGAUAUAUUUUUGUUUACAGCUCUCACAACAUGCACCUUUUCCUGGUAUAUGCUAUUUGUGUACGAAGGAAAUAAUGCAUUAUAAAAUGUUAAGAUCUACAGUUUUAUUAAUAAUUUUCAUAUGUGUAAAAAUGUGUGUUUCUUAUUAUAUAUAAAUGUAUUUCUUAUUAUGGUGUUUUUGUUUUUAUACAGAGUUUAAUUUGAAAGUUUUUUGAUAAGCCUGCUCUUAAAAAUGAAGGGUUUUCAUUCAAGCUUACAUGUAUUUAUCCCCAAUAUUAAUUAAUAUGACCCCAUACGCCAAGUAUGGUAACUGUAGUUUCACAUUUGUCAAGAUUAAAGGCAUAUUUAUUCUUUGAAAUUUGCAUCUUUAAAAAUGAGCAAGAUAAAGUUCCUUGAUGAAGUGUUUUCUCAGGAAUGGUUUAAAGUAUAUCAUUUUUACGUGUCAAAUGUAUUCCCUAUAUAGAUAUGACCGUGUAGGUCAAGCAUUGUGAGGGAGAGGUUAAGGUAACUGUUACUAAAAUAGCAGAAAGGGAUUCGAAUUAAUAUCUCUAUAACAAAGUGAGUUAUUGCUAUGAAAUUUUAUACUUUGUAUCAGGCCUAGUUUUUGAUUGCAAAUAAGGUGGGUGGUUUCAAAGUCAUUGUUAGUUAAAGAGAUAAAGAAACAUUAACUCUGCUAAAAACUCAAGAAUAUAUUAAGCGAUGGGUAAUUCAACUAAAUUAUAAAUACCUAAUUUCUAGUCAUUGCAAUUGUUGCAUGUGACAUACGUGAAGUCAUCAGGGUCAUGCCACCAUUACUUAGAAUAGAGAACAUGGAUUCUGCUUAGUUACUCAAAACAAAUUUAGAUACAUGUAUUGUAAUGUAAAUGCAAACAUAGAUGAGUUCUAUCAAAACUUCAUUUUAUAUUGCCGAUGGGGUCAAGGUCACUGUUACAAAAUAUAGAUACAUGACUUCGGGUAAAUAAUCCAAUAACAAAUUCAGCUAUUGUAUUGAGCCUACAGCCUUAUAUCUAGAUAUAGCAUGGAAUCGGAUCUGGGGUGUACGGGUAAAGGUCUCUGUUAGUACAUGUACAUUUUGAAAUUGUUUCUCCUUAAUAAUUAUAAUGAAAUUGGAUAUAGAGAAUUCUUAUAUCGAGGGAAUAUAUAUGGGACGGUUGUGAUCAAGGUCAAUAUAUAUGAUGUUGGCAUAAUAAUCCGAUAAUUUCUUUAGCUAUUGUAAUGCAGCAUAUUUAGACCAUAACAUACGGCAGUGCUGGGUUGGACGUCUAUAAUCGGCUCGCUGCCGUCAGAUCCAACUGAUGACAUUUUAGAAAAAAUCGCCGGAAACUCUGACAAAAACUGGAUAAGUCGAGCACGCUGUCACAGCUGUUGGUCCUAAUUAGAUUUUCAUUAAAUAAUAUAUUAAUGAAAUAACAUGAACUGAAAUAGAUGUUCCCAUAUUAUCAUCUUUUUGUAGAUAACGUCGAUCGCCUUUUUUGGAAAAUACUAACACUAAGUGAAUACCAAAAGCGUAAUCAAUGAAAUUGUUGAUGUUUAUUGUAUGAUUGUAUUCCUUGAAACGUCAUAACAACACAUCUGAAAAUAAAUAUAUUCUCUGUU